This 718-nucleotide ribosomal RNA is filed under the name Bacillus velezensis. RNAcentral's name for it is "bacterial SSU rRNA". It matches the Rfam family "Bacterial small subunit ribosomal RNA", at positions 57 to 758 of the family's 1533-position model. The record is from RNAcentral. Lineage: Bacteria; Bacillati; Bacillota; Bacilli; Caryophanales; Bacillaceae.
GCAGUCGAGCGGACAGAUGGGAGCUUGCUCCCUGAUGUUAGCGGCGGACGGGUGAGUAACACGUGGGUAACCUGCCUGUAAGACUGGGAUAACUCCGGGAAACCGGGGCUAAUACCGGAUGGUUGUUUGAACCGCAUGGUUCAGACAUAAAAGGUGGCUUCGGCUACCACUUACAGAUGGACCCGCGGCGCAUUAGCUAGUUGGUGAGGUAACGGCUCACCAAGGCGACGAUGCGUAGCCGACCUGAGAGGGUGAUCGGCCACACUGGGACUGAGACACGGCCCAGACUCCUACGGGAGGCAGCAGUAGGGAAUCUUCCGCAAUGGACGAAAGUCUGACGGAGCAACGCCGCGUGAGUGAUGAAGGUUUUCGGAUCGUAAAGCUCUGUUGUUAGGGAAGAACAAGUGCCGUUCAAAUAGGGCGGCACCUUGACGGUACCUAACCAGAAAGCCACGGCUAACUACGUGCCAGCAGCCGCGGUAAUACGUAGGUGGCAAGCGUUGUCCGGAAUUAUUGGGCGUAAAGGGCUCGCAGGCGGUUUCUUAAGUCUGAUGUGAAAGCCCCCGGCUCAACCGGGGAGGGUCAUUGGAAACUGGGGAACUUGAGUGCAGAAGAGGAGAGUGGAAUUCCACGUGUAGCGGUGAAAUGCGUAGAGAUGUGGAGGAACACCAGUGGCGAAGGCGACUCUCUGGUCUGUAACUGACGCUGAGGAGCGAAA